ACCUACGGGAGGCAGCAGUCGAGAAUCAUUCACAAUGGGGGAAACCCUGAUGGUGCGACGCCGCGUGGGGGAAUGAAGGUCUUCGGAUUGUAAACCCUUUUCAUGUGGGAGCAAAUUAAAAAGAUAGUACCACAAGAGGAAGAGACGGCUAACUCUGUGACAGCAGCCGCGGUAAUACAGAGGUCUCAAGCGUUGUUCGGAAUCACUGGGCGUAAAGCGUGCGUAGGCUGUUUCGUAAGUCGUGUGUGAAAGGCGCGGGCUCAACACGCGGACGGCACAUGAUACUGAGAGACUAGAGUAAUGGG
This 305-nucleotide ribosomal RNA is filed under the name uncultured bacterium. Its description in RNAcentral is "bacterial SSU rRNA". It matches the Rfam family "Bacterial small subunit ribosomal RNA", at positions 337 to 653 of the family's 1533-position model. The record is from RNAcentral.